CCCUGGGAAACUUUUAGAGAUGAGUUGGUGCCUUCGGGAACCGUGAGACAGGUGCUGCAUGGCUGUCGUCAGCUCGUGUUGUGAAAUGUUGGGUUAAGUCCCGCAACGAGCGCAACCCUUAUCCUUUGUUGCCAGCGGUCCGGCCGGGAACUCAAAGGAGACUGCCAGUGAUAAACUGGAGGAAGGGGGGGAUGACGUCAAGUCAUCAUGGCCCUUACGACCAGGGCUACACACGUGCUACAAUGGCGCAUACAAAGAGAAGCGACCUCGCGAGAGCAAGCGGACCUCAUAAAGUGCGUCGUAAUCCGGAUUGGAGUCUGCAACUCGACUCCAUGAAGUCGGAAUCGCUAGUAAUCGUGGAUCAGAAUGCCACGGUGAAUACGUUCCCGGGUCUUGUACACACCGA
This 406-nucleotide ribosomal RNA is filed under the name Escherichia fergusonii. RNAcentral's name for it is "bacterial SSU rRNA". It matches the Rfam family "Bacterial small subunit ribosomal RNA", at positions 988 to 1393 of the family's 1533-position model. The record is from RNAcentral. Lineage: Bacteria; Pseudomonadati; Pseudomonadota; Gammaproteobacteria; Enterobacterales; Enterobacteriaceae.